This 866-nucleotide ribosomal RNA is filed under the name Cobetia sp. RNAcentral's name for it is "bacterial SSU rRNA". It matches the Rfam family "Bacterial small subunit ribosomal RNA", at positions 556 to 1421 of the family's 1533-position model. Lineage: Bacteria; Pseudomonadati; Pseudomonadota; Gammaproteobacteria; Oceanospirillales; Halomonadaceae. The record is from RNAcentral.
GGGCGUAAGCGCGCGUAGGUGGCUAAGUCAGCCAGGUGUGAAAGCCCCGGGCUCAACCUGGGAACGGCAUCUGGAACUGCUUGGCUAGAGUGCAGGAGAGGAAGGUAGAAUUCCCGGUGUAGCGGUGAAAUGCGUAGAGAUCGGGAGGAAUACCAGUGGCGAAGGCGGCCUUCUGGACUGACACUGACACUGAGGUGCGAAAGCGUGGGUAGCAAACAGGAUUAGAUACCCUGGUAGUCCACGCCGUAAACGAUGUCAACUAGCCGUUGGGUCCCUUGAGGACUUAGUGGCGCAGCUAACGCAAUAAGUUGACCGCCUGGGGAGUACGGCCGCAAGGUUAAAACUCAAAUGAAUUGACGGGGGCCCGCACAAGCGGUGGAGCAUGUGGUUUAAUUCGAUGCAACGCGAAGAACCUUACCUACCCUUGACAUCCAGAGGACUUUCCAGAGAUGGAUUGGUGCCUUCGGGAACUCUGAGACAGGUGCUGCAUGGCUGUCGUCAGCUCGUGUUGUGAAAUGUUGGGUUAAGUCCCGUAACGAGCGCAACCCCUAUCCUUAUUUGCCAGCGAGUAAUGUCGGGAACUCUAAGGAGACUGCCGGUGACAAACCGGAGGAAGGUGGGGACGACGUCAAGUCAUCAUGGCCCUUACGGGUAGGGCUACACACGUGCUACAAUGGCAAGUACAAAGGGUUGCAAUACUGCGAAGUGGAGCCAAUCCCAUAAAGCUUGCCUCAGUCCGGAUUGGAGUCUGCAACUCGACUCCAUGAAGUCGGAAUCGCUAGUAAUCGUGGAUCAAAAUGCCACGGUGAAUACGUUCCCGGGCCUUGUACACACCGCCCGUCACACCAUGGGGAGUGGACUGCACC